Long non-coding RNA from Trematomus bernacchii (emerald rockcod), 189 nucleotides. RefSeq lists it as uncharacterized. The transcript is spliced from 3 exons. The record is from RefSeq and is a predicted model, not a curated record. Lineage: Eukaryota; Metazoa; Chordata; Actinopteri; Perciformes; Nototheniidae.
AAAAAAGAGUUUUUAAUCAAAGACAAGAAGUGAAAAUUCGCUGGACACCAUGCUCCGAGUGUGGCAAGGACUGGGAGGACACAUGGGAGCCUGCCCAAAACUAUAGCAGCUCAACAUAAUAACACACACACACAGACACAGACACACACAUACACAUACACACAGACACAGACACACAGACACAAACAC